Molecule: ribosomal RNA, 207 nt
Filed under: uncultured Prolixibacteraceae bacterium
Lineage: Bacteria; Pseudomonadati; Bacteroidota; Bacteroidia; Marinilabiliales; Prolixibacteraceae
Description: partial 16S ribosomal RNA
Rfam family: Bacterial small subunit ribosomal RNA
Source: RNAcentral
UGCGCAGGCGGGGAUGUAAGUCAGUGGUGAAAAGCUGCCGCUUAACGGUAGUCUUGCCAAUGAUACUGCAUUUCUUGAGUAUGGUUAAGGUAGGCGGAAUGUGCAGUGUAGCGGUGAAAUGCAUAGAGAUUGCACAGAAGGCCGAUUGCGGAGGCAGCUUACUGAGCCAUAACUGACGCUGAGGCACGAAAGCGUGGGGAUCGAACA